GCGGGAUAUUGACAAGCUUGCCUUUAAAAGGUGAAGAUACCAAAGGUAUGAUAGAAGCACAGUAAAAAACCAGACUUCGUCAUCACCAGAAAAAUGUCAAAAAGGAAACCAGUUUCUCCUAAACAUGAAAACUUCAAAUUUAGCAACAAAAAAUUUUUCAUAACGGAAUUUGAUUAGACUGUCGUACAAAGUGAGAGGUUUAGCGC
RNAcentral lists this long non-coding RNA (206 nucleotides) under Mytilus galloprovincialis (Mediterranean mussel). The record is from RNAcentral. Lineage: Eukaryota; Metazoa; Mollusca; Bivalvia; Mytilida; Mytilidae.